Molecule: ribosomal RNA, 301 nt
Filed under: uncultured bacterium
Lineage: Bacteria
Description: partial 16S ribosomal RNA
Rfam family: Bacterial small subunit ribosomal RNA
Source: RNAcentral
CAGCAGCCGCGGGAAUACAGAGGGUGCAAGCGUUAAUCGGAAUUACUGGGCGUAAAGCGCGCGUAGGUGGUUUGUUAAGUUGGAUGUGAAAGCCCCGGGCUCAACCUGGGAACUGCAUCCAAAACUGGCAAGCUAGAGUACUGUAGAGGGUGGUGGAAUUUCCUGUGUAGCGGUGAAAUGCGUAGAUAUAGGAAGGAACACCAGUGGCGAAGGCGACCACCUGGACUGAUACUGACACUGAGGUGCGAAAGCGUGGGGAGCAAACAGGAUUAGAUACCCCGGUAGUCCCUGUCUCUUAUAC